GCUGGAAUUGUGCGGGGUGUAGUUCACGAACACGAAGCCGCGGGUCUGGUCGAUGAUGUGGAACAGCGGGUUCCAGUCGAACAUCGCCAGCAUGAAGUUGGGCAGGUUGUUGGCGGCGAACAUCUUGCCCGAGGCGACCAUGUUGGCGCGG
Molecule: non-coding RNA, 151 nt
Filed under: Paracoccus sphaerophysae
Lineage: Bacteria; Pseudomonadati; Pseudomonadota; Alphaproteobacteria; Rhodobacterales; Paracoccaceae
Description: Paracoccus sp. Zy-3 Ruegeria cis2 sRNA
Rfam family: Ruegeria cis2 sRNA
About the family: Cis-encoded.
Source: Rfam by way of RNAcentral